GGCCACAGCCAUGCCACCCUGAACAAACCUGAUCCCAUCUGAUCUCAGAAGCUAAGCAGGGUCGGGCCUGGUUAGUACUUGGAUGGGAGACCACCUAGGAAUACUGGACUGUAACCA
Molecule: ribosomal RNA, 117 nt
Filed under: Pteropus alecto (black flying fox)
Lineage: Eukaryota; Metazoa; Chordata; Mammalia; Chiroptera; Pteropodidae
Source: RNAcentral